AGAGUUUGAUCCUGGCUCAGGAUGAACGUUGGUAGUAUGCCUAACACAUGCAAGUCGAGCGGAAAGUAAUAGCAAUAUUACUUUUAGCGGCGAACGGGUGAGUAAUGCUUAUCUUACCUGCCAUUUAGUGGGGGAUAAAAUUCCGCAUAUUAUGAGUAAUCAUGAAAGGGCUUUCGGGCUCGCUAAUUGAUGGGGAUAAGUCGUAUUAGUUAGUUGGUGGGGUAAUGGCCUACCAAGACAAUGAUGCGUAGCCAGUCUGAGAGGAUGAAUGGCCACAAAGGAACUGAGACACGGUCCUUACUCCUAUUGAGGAGGCAGCAGUGGGGAAUUUUCGGCAAUGGGGGCAGCCCUGACCGAGCAAUACUACGUGAAGGAGGAAGGUCUACGGAUUGUAAACUUCUUUACUUAAAUGUACUCCGUAAGGUUUUGCAUUUGAGCAAAAAGCGACGACUAACUAUGUGCCAGCAGUCGCGGUAAGACAUAGGUCGCAAACGUUAUCCGGAAUUAUUGGGCGUAAAGGAUGCGUAGAUGGUUCAGUAAGUUACUGGUGGGAAAUCGAGGCCCAACCUCGUGGAAGUCAGUAAUACUGUUGAACUUGAGUGCAGGAGAGGUUAACGGAACUUCAUGUGGAGCGGUAAAAUGCGUAGAUNUAUGAAAGAACAUCAAUAUAGCGAAGGCAGUUAACUAUUCUGC
RNAcentral lists this ribosomal RNA (693 nucleotides) under uncultured bacterium. RNAcentral describes it as "bacterial SSU rRNA". It matches the Rfam family "Bacterial small subunit ribosomal RNA", at positions 8 to 737 of the family's 1533-position model. The record is from RNAcentral.